CAAAAAUGCCUUCAAUACUAUUAUUAACCCUUUCAUGACCGGGCCUAAAAAAGUCCUGAAUGUCCAGGCAAUUUUUCGUGAUUUUGUGCACGUGGUGGUUUAGUGACCCUAACUUUUUUAUUUGACUAUAAAAAUAUUUUUGCAAUG
Bufo bufo (common toad) is the source of this 147-nucleotide long non-coding RNA. RefSeq lists it as uncharacterized. The record is from RefSeq and is a predicted model, not a curated record. The transcript has 3 exons. Lineage: Eukaryota; Metazoa; Chordata; Amphibia; Anura; Bufonidae.